Molecule: long non-coding RNA, 1165 nt
Organism: Passer domesticus (house sparrow)
Lineage: Eukaryota; Metazoa; Chordata; Aves; Passeriformes; Passeridae
Exons: 3
Source: RefSeq, a predicted model, not a curated record
GCUCUCGCGAGACUUGGCGGGCGGAGGGGAAGGGCCGCGCCCGGGAUCAUGGCGGGUUCAUUACUGUCCCCUCGAGGGGAAGGCACCAAAAGCUCUCAAAAGCCCUAAAACUCCAGCUGCACCCACGGAGAAUGGAAAUAACUGCAGAGUGCCCCUCCUCUGCCGGGGCCACAUCCCGGGAGUGAGGGAGGAGUCACACGAAGCCCUUUGAUGUUCUCACAUUUGGGAUUCAAACAGCUCCGGUCGUGUGGAGCAAGAUCUGGAGCCAUCCUUGCCCGUGGAAAGGCCUCGUUCCUCCCAGGACAGGGUGACCCAAAGGAGCUCGGAGAUCCUCUGAACGAAAACCAGGAGCAGUUUUUCAUCUGGGCACAACCGUGCAGGAGUGACAGAGUUCAUCAAAGGUUACUAAUUACCAUGUACAUUUUGAGGUCAUCUGGCUGUCUGGGCAGACUUGGGUGGGUGGAAUCAUGGGAUCAGUAAGAUUGGAAAAGACUUCCAAGAUCAAGGCCAACCUUCCACCAAAUACCCCCAUGCCCUCUAAACUGUGUCACAAGUGAUGAGUGACCUACUCAUUGUUUGAACUCUUCGAGGGGCUGUGACUCCACCACUUCCCCAGGGAGGCUGUUUCCAAGAGUCUCAAGGAUGGAGGAGUGUGAAGAGCUCCUGGCUGGGAGCACAGAGUCGUGCUCUGCCAAAUGAGUUUGUCAGCCCUGAGCUCAGGAUGUUCCUCAGCGUUUGAGCCCUGCCUGCUGGGCAAAGAGGCACAGAGAGAACCCUUCCAGCCCUGGAAAACUCAGCCUUAGCUGGGGGGGUCACAGGCUGAGCACACAGCCAGGUCAUGCAGGACAGGUCACCUUGCACCAUCCUGAGCUGCCUCAGGGCUGGACUGGGGCUAGACAGGAGCUGGACAAGGAAGAGGAAGGGAAAGAAUGAUUCUGUGGGGGAAGCUCUGCAAAUAUGUGCUUCCCUUUGCUGAUAAAGGAGGGUGUGAGGCUCUGAGAGGAGCCACCUUGUUUGUCUGCUCUCACACCCUGGCAGCAGCACUCCCUUAUCUCCAGCACACGGGCACGUUCAGCUCUGCAGCCAUUCCCUAACCCACCACUCCGGGCUGCUCCUCGUGUUCAUUCCCUUCCUCCCUCUUCUAACAGGAUUAAUUUUUUUUUUU